RNAcentral lists this ribosomal RNA (462 nucleotides) under uncultured bacterium. RNAcentral's name for it is "partial 16S ribosomal RNA". It matches the Rfam family "Bacterial small subunit ribosomal RNA", at positions 28 to 507 of the family's 1533-position model. The record is from RNAcentral.
GACGAACGCUGGCGGCGUGCCUAACACAUGCAAGUCGAGCGGAAAGGGCUUUUGGGGUCCUCAAGCGGCGAACGGGGGAGUGACAUGUGAGUAAACUGGCCCAGUCGUUGGGAUAACCGUGGGAAAAGGGGGCUAAUACCCGAUUCGACACUGCUUCGCAUAGGGGCUGUGUGUAAGGUUUUUCGGUUUGGGAUGGGCGCGCGGCCUAUCAGCUUGCUGGUGGGGUGACGGCCUACCAAGGCGACGACGGGUAGCCGGCCUGGGAGGGCGACCGGCCACACUGGGACUACGGCACGGACCAGACUGGAACGGGGGGCAGCGGUGGAAAGUCUUGCACAAUGGGCGGGAGCCUGGUACAACGGCGCCGCGUGGGGAAUGACGGCCUUCAGGUUGUAAACCUCUUUCAGCAGGGACGAAGCGUAAGUGACGGUACCUGAAGAAGAAGCGCCGGCCAACUACGUG